This 897-nucleotide ribosomal RNA is filed under the name Thyronectria lamyi. RNAcentral describes it as "LSU rRNA". It matches the Rfam family "Eukaryotic large subunit ribosomal RNA", at positions 38 to 967 of the family's 3401-position model. The record is from RNAcentral. Lineage: Eukaryota; Fungi; Ascomycota; Sordariomycetes; Hypocreales; Nectriaceae.
GCAUAUCAAUAAGCGGAGGAAAAGAAAUCCAACCGGGAUUGCCCUAGUAACGGCGAGUGAAGCGGCAACAGCUCAAAUUUGAAAUCUGGCCCUCGUGGUCCGAGUUGUAAUUUGUAGAGGAUGCUUUUGGUACGGUACCUUCCGAGUUCCCUGGAACGGGACGCCAUAGAGGGUGAGAGCCCCGUCUGGUCGGAUACCAAUCCUCUGUAAAGCUCCUUCGACGAGUCGAGUAGUUUGGGAAUGCUGCUCAAAAUGGGAGGUAUAUGUCUUCUAAAGCUAAAUAUUGGCCAGAGACCGAUAGCGCACAAGUAGAGUGAUCGAAAGAUGAAAAGCACUUUGAAAAGAGGGUUAAAUAGUACGUGAAAUUGUUGAAAGGGAAGCGUUUGUGACCAGACUUGGGCCCGGUUAAUCAUCCGGCGUUCUCGCCGGUGCACUUUGCCGGCCCAGGCCAGCAUCAGUUCGCUGCGGGGGAAAAAGGCAGCGGGAAUGUGGCUCCUCGGAGUGUUAUAGCCCGCUGUGCAAUACCCUGUGGUGGACUGAGGUUCGCGCAUCUGCAAGGAUGCUGGCGUAAUGGUCAUCAACGACCCGUCUUGAAACACGGACCAAGGAGUCGUCUUCGUAUGCGAGUGUUCGGGUGUCAAACCCCUACGCGUAAUGAAAGUGAACGGAGGUGGGAGCCUCGGCGCACCAUCGACCGAUCCUGAUGUUUUCGGAUGGAUUUGAGUAAGAGCAUACGGGGCCGGACCCGAAAGAAGGUGAACUAUGCCUGUAUAGGGUGAAGCCAGAGGAAACUCUGGUGGAGGCUCGCAGCGGUUCUGACGUGCAAAUCGAUCGUCAAAUAUGGGCAUGGGGGCGAAAGACUAAUCGAACCUUCUAGUAGCUGGUUUCCGCCGAAGU